RNAcentral lists this ribosomal RNA (379 nucleotides) under uncultured cyanobacterium. RNAcentral's name for it is "bacterial SSU rRNA". It matches the Rfam family "Bacterial small subunit ribosomal RNA", at positions 376 to 770 of the family's 1533-position model. Lineage: Bacteria; Bacillati; Cyanobacteriota. The record is from RNAcentral.
CGAAAGCCUGACGGAGCAAGACCGCGUGAGGGAGGAAGGCUCUUGGGUUGUAAACCUCUUUUCUCAGGGAAGAAGCUCUGACGGUACCUGAGGAAUCAGCCUCGGCUAACUCCGUGCCAGCAGCCGCGGUAAGACGGAGGAUGCAAGCGUUAUCCGGAAUUAUUGGGCGUAAAGCGUCCGUAGGUGGCUUUUCAAGUCGGCGGUCAAAGACCGGGGCUUAACUCCGGAAAGGCCGUGGAAACUGAAUGGCUAGAGUGCCGUAGGGGUAGAGGGAAUUCCCGGUGUAGCGGUGAAAUGCGUAGAGAUCGGGAAGAACAUCGGUGGCGAAAGCGCUCUACUGGACGGCAACUGACACUCAGGGACGAAAGCUAGGGGAGCG